This 211-nucleotide long non-coding RNA is filed under the name Lathyrus oleraceus (garden pea). Its description in RNAcentral is "Pisum sativum (pea) long non-coding RNA (PSAT_LNC031382)". The record is from RNAcentral. Lineage: Eukaryota; Viridiplantae; Streptophyta; Magnoliopsida; Fabales; Fabaceae.
UCAUUCAUGUUCAAACAAGUCUCAUUUGACAUUUCAAACAUCAACAUUGAAGAAUUUGAAGUCAGAUCAAGACUUUCCAAAAAUAGCAGGUGACAUUCAUGUUCAAACAAGUCUCAUUUGACAUUUCAAACAUCAACAUUGAAGAAUUUGAAGUCAGAUCAAGACUUUCCAAAAAUAGCAGGUGACCUGUAAUUUGAACUUUCCAAAAAUG